AACGAACGCUGGCGGCAGGCUUAACACAUGCAAGUCGAACGCCCCGCAAGGGGAGUGGCAGACGGGUGAGUAACGCGUGGGAAUCUACCCAUCUCUGCGGAAUAGCUCUGGGAAACUGGAAUUAAUACCGCAUACGCCCUACGGGGGAAAGAUUUAUCGGGGAUGGAUGAGCCCGCGUUGGAUUAGCUAGUUGGUGGGGUAAAGGCCUACCAAGGCAACGAUCCAUAGCUGGUCUGAGAGGAUGAUCAGCCACAUUAGGACUGAGACACGGCCCAAACUCCUACGGGAGGCAGCAGUGGGGAAUAUUGGACAAUGGGCGCAAGCCUGAUCCAGCCAUGCCGCGUGAGUGAUGAAGGCCUUAGGGUUGUAAAGCUCUUUCACCGAUGAAGAUAAUGACGGUAGUCGGAGAAGAAGCCCCGGCUAACUUCGUGCCAGCAGCCGCAGUAA
RNAcentral lists this ribosomal RNA (447 nucleotides) under uncultured bacterium. Its description in RNAcentral is "partial 16S ribosomal RNA". It matches the Rfam family "Bacterial small subunit ribosomal RNA", at positions 29 to 523 of the family's 1533-position model. The record is from RNAcentral.